AGUGAACGCUGGCGGUAGGCCUAACACAUGCAAGUCGAACGGCAGCACAGGAGAGCUUGCUCUCUGGGUGGCGAGUGGCGGACGGGUGAGGAAUACAUCGGAAUCUACUCUGUCGUGGGGGAUAACGUAGGGAAACUUACGCUAAUACCGCAUACGACCUACGGGUGAAAGCAGGGGACCUUCGGGCCUUGCGCGAUUGAAUGAGCCGAUGUCGGAUUAGCUAGUUGGCGGGGUAAAGGCCCACCAAGGCGACGAUCCGUAGCUGGUCUGAGAGGAUGAUCAGCCACACUGGAACGGAGACACGGUCCAGAAUACUACGGGAGGCAGCAGUGGGGAAUAUUGGACAAUGGGCGCAAGCCUGAUCCAGCCAUACCGCGUGGGUGAAGAAGGCCUUCGGGUUGUAAAGCCCUUUUGUUGGAAAGAAAUCCAGCUGGCUAAUACCCGGUUGGGAUGACGGUACCCAAAGAAUAAGCACCGGCUAACUUCGUGCCAGCCGCCGCCGUAA
RNAcentral lists this ribosomal RNA (505 nucleotides) under uncultured bacterium. RNAcentral's name for it is "partial 16S ribosomal RNA". It matches the Rfam family "Bacterial small subunit ribosomal RNA", at positions 29 to 523 of the family's 1533-position model. The record is from RNAcentral.